GGCUGUAGCUCAGUGGCAGGGCACUUGCCUAGCAUGUGUGAGGCACUGGGUUUGAUCCUCAGCACCA
This 67-nucleotide transfer RNA is filed under the name Marmota monax (woodchuck). RNAcentral describes it as "tRNA.Ala". Lineage: Eukaryota; Metazoa; Chordata; Mammalia; Rodentia; Sciuridae. The record is from RNAcentral.